AAGCAAGCAAUGCAGUCAGUAAUUGCCAAAUUUACAAGCGCUAAUUUUCAACUGAAAUCGGAACAGGCAAAUUAGGACGAAUUUCAACAGAAAAGCAGUCUCAAACUUCAAAUCGUGAGGGAAGUCGUGCGAACACAUUAGCAUUUAAAUGUGUGCUUCGCUGUCGCCGUUGUUAUAAAUAAAUUGUCUCACUUAUCAGAUCGUGUGUGUAAUUCUUGUUGGCGGCGGAAAGUACGUCAUUUAUUUCAGUUAUUUCAUUUGGUAAAGAACUCUACAAAAGAAGAGAGGGUUCAGAGUCCAGAUCGUUUCGUUUCAAACGGCAUUUAAUACCGUCUUCUGUUUCGCUCUCUCAGCGAAGCCUUGCAAAUCGCAAAGUGUUUCGAAUAGGCUUACAUGGAACUGCCUCUAAAUCUUCACCACGAAAAGCGCUGUUUUCUUCAGUGCAAGAACAGAGUCAACAUCAAUCAAAAGAUAAUUUCUUGAGGAACAUAUAACGUAUCAAGUCUGUUUGAAAUCAAUGUAAACUCAAGUAAAGGUUUAUAAUACUAUAGUUUACCCCAGUCGUAAUGUUGCUAUUCCAACACUUCACGACAGCAAUCCCCCUUGGCAUAACGGCAAAAACAUCUCUUCAAGUAAACAAUAAACAGUCUGUUCUUGUUCCAUUUUUAAUCGAAAAAAGUGAUAAAUUUUCAAAUUUUAAGCUGAUCGAGAGCCUUUGUGAUGAAUCAGUGAUCUAAUUAUAGAAUCCAACAGCAAACAGCCAAUCAGAAUGCCGCGUUCUUGGGCGAACGCGGAAAGUACAAAAUACCGGGCCUUGCUUGCAGGCCCACUAUUCUUCACUUGGGCCUGCACGCGGGCUAAGGUUACGCUUGCUACAAAAGAUAGUUAAUAUGCAGUACAACGUUUCCUAAUGCUGCAUGCAAUAGCAGCUUUCUGGGCAUGGCGUUUCGGUAUAGCAAUUAGGAGUGCACCGGAUUUGGAAUUUUCAAAUCCGGCCGGAACCGGAUUUGGACAAAAAUUGCGGCCGGAAUUCCAGCCGGAUUUGCCGGAUUUGAGAUAAACCGGUAAUGGGGACAAUUGGGGAUAAAUCGGUAUUCAAAAUGGCGGUUUAUGUUUUUUACUAUUUUUAGUUAGUGUCAGUGUAGAUUUUUGAUUGUGUUUAAAGGUUUUUUAAAAUAUCUUUUUGUUAAUAACUUAAAAUUUUAUAAUAAUAUGUGUUUUUUAAACUUUAAAGCUGCUGAUUGAUGGUUUAUCCAAUUCUUGGUGAAUUUUUUAAGGUGAAAACAGAAAUUUAAGUCCGGCCGGAUUUUCUCCAAAUCCGGCCGGAUGCCGGAAAAUUCGUUAAAUCCGGUGCACCCCUAAUAGCAAUCGUAACAUAUACAUAUGCUAGUAGUCGCUAGCCUGCACUUUUUAUGUGUAUGUCAGUACAAUGCAAUUAACCAGCUGAUCAAUGCUAAAUACUAGCCAGUGUGAAAUAUAAAUAAUAAGCGGAUUUUGAAUAACAUAAUAUAUAUUUGAAAAAGCCAUAAUUUAAAUUAUUUUGAGAAAAGUUUGAAAACUUGAAAUUUUACCCGGGGGAAGGUGGAACACUCGUGUUUUUGCAACUCUGCGCGACAUUAGCUAAAAAAGUGUCAAUCACGAAAACGAGGCCCUGUCAGUGGUCAAGAUGACGUUCUUUCCGGAAGCGUGUAUUGGUACAGUAUAUGGAUUAAAAAGCAGAAUGUGAAAAUGUGCACCAGUAUAUAUCUGGAGUAAAGACUUUAGUCAUUAAUUGACGAUUCCCUUUAUUACGUUUUCGUAGCGCUUUGCAUUGGGGUUAUAGUGGUAUCAAUGAUAUUCAAGAUGGCUUAUUUUUUGUCCUGACCCAAAGCAAAAUAUUCGCGAAAACAUUCAAUAUUUUCAUUCGAGGCCGCUAUCUUUAUCAGUGAUACCACUAUAACCACAAUGCAAAGCGCUACGAAAACGUAAUAAGGGGAAUCAUCGAUCGAACCAUGAUCGAGUAAAGUGAAGCCAAGAUGGCGGAAAUUGACGUCCAAAAUCUAUAAGGUCGUAAAGAAUUUACGUAUCAUUUCUCCCAGCUAAUUCCAGUUUUUAAGUCGAAGUUUGAUACACUCCUUGCAGCCUCGUGUUAACCGUGCAGAGUUACACUGUAAAGUCCUAGCAGUGGACGUUCAUUUUCGCCAUUUUUGGCUUCACUUUUUGGACGCGAGUUUUUACUUCAGAUAUAUAUGGAUCUCUAAGAUGUGCACACUGUAUCUGAACCACUGAUCUUUACUAAGACUGGAUAACGCAUCUAUAGUAUACGAAAGUGAAGCCGAAAGUCACCGGCCGCCACCCGAUUCAAGGGUCCCACUUUUCUUUGAUUUGUAUUACAGAUGGUAGUUUUUCGCGUUUUUCGCCUUGGCUACAUUUCUGACUGCGCCAGUUUUACAAUCACAAAGAAUAGAUAGAAGCAUACAAGAAGAAUUUUGAGAAAAAAAUUUGGAGUAUUAUGGCUUUAAGGCCUGAUUUCACGGGCGCUUUUUCUCGGCGAAAUGUGAAAUAUUUCGCCUGUUUCUUUUGAAUUGCGACCACUCGAAUAAAUUAUUUCUACUUGAUUGCCCACAAUUCAAAAGAAACAGGCGAAAUAUUUCGCAUUUCGCCGAGAAAAAGCGCCCGUGGAAUCAGGCCUUUAUAACGCCGCGGAACGGGAUUAACAAUGUUGAAGGAGUGGAGAGCCUCAGACUUUGUUUAUCAACACGAGCAUUCCCUCGACUUGUCGAGAAUUUUUAUAUGUUUUAAAGUAGGAAGACAAGUGACAAUCAAAUAUUUUUUAAUCCAAAUUAACAAUGACUCAAUAUGUUAUUUUAAUUCAUAUAAUUAUAAAAUUAACGUCAAGGUAUUUUAAAACUAACCUCUGUACGCUUUCGUUCACAAUGUAGCUGCUUCAUUUCUUCAAAUUUCCUGAGAAUAUUCGUCCAGUAACAGUAAUUCUUGUAUACUUUGAGUUGAUUUGUAUGAAAGUAGCAAAACGAGCUCGUGUUGAUAAACAAAGUUUGAGGCCCUCCACUCCUUCAAAAUUGUAAAUCCCGUUUUGUGGCGUUAUAAAGCCAUAAUACUCCAAAUUUUUUGCUCAAAAUUCUUCUUGUAUGCUUCUAUUUUUGUGAUUGUAAAACUGGCGCGGUCAGAAACGUAGCCAAGGCGAAAGACGCGAAAAACUGCCAUCUGUAAUACAAAUCUAUACAAAAGUGGGACCCUUGAAUCGGGUGGCGUCCGGUGGCGUCCGGUGACUUCCGGCUUCACUUUCGUAUACUAUAGAUGCGUUAUCCAGUCUUAGUACAGAUCAGUGAUCUGAACCAGUUAUGUAGUCCCUCCAGAAUAUUUCGAAAUUCUAGAAAAUGGUAUUUUUACCAUUUGAGGACGUAAUCGGACAACACUAGGUUUUGUAAUUGUUGUUGAUGUUGUUGUUAGCAAGUAAUAAACUGUCUUUGAAUGUAAUAAAAUGACACUGAUCCAUUAGAGGACGAGAUAAGACAGUAUUUGCUUAAUAUAUAAAGUGUCUUUGAAUGUAAUAAAAACCAUUUCAAACUAUUUAUCCUAAUUUUUAGGUUAGCCUGC
Molecule: non-coding RNA, 3597 nt
Organism: Paramuricea clavata
Lineage: Eukaryota; Metazoa; Cnidaria; Anthozoa; Malacalcyonacea; Plexauridae
Source: the annotation of a GenBank genome assembly